Molecule: ribosomal RNA, 521 nt
Filed under: uncultured Glomeraceae
Lineage: Eukaryota; Fungi; Glomeromycota; Glomeromycetes; Glomerales; Glomeraceae
Description: SSU rRNA
Rfam family: Eukaryotic small subunit ribosomal RNA
Source: RNAcentral
AGCAGCCGCGGUAAUUCCAGCUCCAAUAGCGUAUAUUAAAGUUGUUGCAGUUAAAAAGCUCGUAGUUGAAUUUCGGGAUCAAGGCGUCGGUCGUGCUUCGGUACGUACUGGCGUCAUUGAUUUCUCCCUUCUGACGAACCAUGAUGCCAUUAACUUGGUGUUAUGGGAAAUCAGGACUGUUACUUUGAAAAAAUUAGAGUGUUUAAAGCAGGCUCACGCUUGAAUACAUUAGCAUGGAAUAAUGAAAUAGGACGUUCGAUCCUAUUUUGUUGGUUUCUAGGAUCAACGUAAUGAUUAAUAGGGAUAGUUGGGGGCAUUAGUAUUCAAUUGUCAGAGGUGAAAUUCUUGGAUUUAUUGAAGACUAACUACUGCGAAAGCAUUUGCCAAGGAUGUUUUCAUUAAUCAAGAACGAAAGUUAGGGGAUCGAAGACGAUCAGAUACCGUCGUAGUCUUAACCAUAAACUAUGCCGACUAGGGAUCGGAUGAUGUUAAUUAUUUAAUGACUCAUUCGGCGCCUUACG